AACGAACGCUGGCGGCAGGCCUAACACAUGCAAGUCGAACGCUGUAGCAAUACAGAGUGGCAGACGGGUGAGUAACGCGUGGGAACAUGCCCUUCGGUUCGGAAUAACUCAGGGAAACUUGAGCUAAUACCGGAUACGCCCUUAGGGGGAAAGAUUUACUGCCGAAGGAUAGGCCCGCGUCCGAUUAGCUAGUUGGUGAGGUAAUGGCUCACCAAGGCGACGAUCGGUAGCUGGUCUGAGAGGAUGAUCAGCCACACUGGGACUGAGACACGGCCCAGACUCCUACGGGAGGCAGCAGUGGGGAAUAUUGGACAAUGGGCGCAAGCCUGACCCAGCCAUGCCGCGUGAGUGAUGAAGGCCCUAGGGUUGUAAAGCUCUUUCGCCAGGGACGAUAAUGACGGUACCUGGAUAAGAAGCCCCGGCUAACUUCGUGCCAGCCGCCGCCGUAA
RNAcentral lists this ribosomal RNA (449 nucleotides) under uncultured bacterium. RNAcentral describes it as "partial 16S ribosomal RNA". It matches the Rfam family "Bacterial small subunit ribosomal RNA", at positions 29 to 523 of the family's 1533-position model. The record is from RNAcentral.